This 399-nucleotide ribosomal RNA is filed under the name uncultured bacterium. RNAcentral's name for it is "bacterial SSU rRNA". It matches the Rfam family "Bacterial small subunit ribosomal RNA", at positions 975 to 1375 of the family's 1533-position model. The record is from RNAcentral.
CAAGUCUUGACAUCCCUCUGAAUCCUCUAGAGAUAGAGGCGGCCUUCGGGACAAAGGUGACAGGUGGUGCAUGGUCGUCGUCAGCUCGUGUCGUGAGAUGUUGGGUUAAGUCUCGCAACAAGCGCAACCCUUGAUCUUAGUUGCCAUCAUUAAGUUGGGCACUCUAAGGUGACUGCCGGUGACAAACCGGAGGAAGGUGGGGAUGACGUCAAAUCAUCAUGCCCCUUAUGACCUGGGCUACACACGUGCUACAAUGGACGGUACAAAGAGCUGCAAGACCGCGAGGUGGAGCUAAUCUCAUAAAACCGUUCUCAGUUCGGAUUGUAGGCUGCAACUCGAGUGCAUGAAGUUGGAAUCGCUAGUAAUCGCGGAUCAGCAUGCCGCGGUGAAUACGUUCCC